CGAAAGUGAAACCUACUCUGUAUAUUGGGCUGGAGACUCGAAAACCACUGGAGAUUUUUACAAUGCCACGAUCCUGCACAUGACCGAGACAAAGGAAGAUAUGGACAAACACCUGGAAAAACGCCACAGCAACGGUGUGCAGCGGAAAAAGCCUUUAAAAAAGAUGAAGGAACGUGCCGAGACAGGUGUUCCUGAAAAGAAAAGACGAAGGCUGGUUUUGGACUCUCACGAGAACCGUCUGCUGCAGACCAUGAGUCGGUCAGAUGAUGACG
Ornithodoros turicata is the source of this 272-nucleotide long non-coding RNA. RefSeq lists it as uncharacterized. The transcript has 3 exons. The record is from RefSeq and is a predicted model, not a curated record. NCBI's taxonomy places the organism in Eukaryota, Metazoa, Arthropoda, Arachnida, Ixodida, Argasidae.